CAGCCGCCGCGGUAAUACCGGCGGCCCGAGUGGCGGUCACUAUUAUUGGGCUUAAAGCGUCCGUAGCCGGGGUGGGAAGUCCUCCGGGAAAUCUGGCCGCUUAACGGUCAGAAUGCCGGAGGAUACUCCCAGCCUAGGGAGCGGGAGAGGCCGAGGGGAUUCCCGGAGUAGGGGUGAAAUCCUAUAAUCCCGGGAGGACCACCGGUGGCGAAGGCGCUCGGCUGGAACGCGUCCGACGGUGAGGGACGAAGGCCAGGGGAGCAAACCGGAUUAGAUACCCGGGUAGUCCUGGCUGUAAACGAUGCGGACUUUGUGUCGGACAAGCUAUGAGCUUGUCCGGUGCCGGAGGGAAACCGUUAAGUCCGCCGCCUGGGGAGUACGGCCGCAAGGCUGAAACUUAAAGGAAUUGGCGGG
Molecule: ribosomal RNA, 414 nt
Filed under: uncultured microorganism
Description: bacterial SSU rRNA
Rfam family: Archaeal small subunit ribosomal RNA
Source: RNAcentral